Molecule: ribosomal RNA, 301 nt
Filed under: uncultured bacterium
Lineage: Bacteria
Description: partial 16S ribosomal RNA
Rfam family: Bacterial small subunit ribosomal RNA
Source: RNAcentral
CAGCAGCCGCGGUAAUACGUAGGUGGCAAGCGUUGUCCGGAAUUAUUGGGCGUAAAGCGCGCGCAGGUGGUUUAAUAAGUCUGAUGUGAAAGCCCACGGCUCAACCGUGGAGGGUCAUUGGAAACUGUUAAACUUGAGUGCAGGAGAGAAAAGUGGAAUUCCUAGUGUAGCGGUGAAAUGCGUAGAGAUUAGGAGGAACACCAGUGGCGAAGGCGGCUUUUUGGCCUGUAACUGACACUGAGGCGCGAAAGCGUGGGGAGCAAACAGGAUUAGAUACCCGCGUAGUCCCUGUCUCUUAUAC